This 97-nucleotide transfer RNA is filed under the name Cytobacillus depressus. Its description in RNAcentral is "Bacillus depressus tRNA-Sec". It matches the Rfam family "Selenocysteine transfer RNA". The record is from RNAcentral. RNAcentral also lists the same sequence under 1 other name. Lineage: Bacteria; Bacillati; Bacillota; Bacilli; Caryophanales; Bacillaceae.
GGGGCUGAAUGGGGUACUGGUGUCCUCCGUAGUCUUCAAAACUAUCUGUGACCACCGUGUGUGGUCAGCUGGGUUCGAUUCCCAGGCAGUCCCGCCA